GUACACACCGCCCGUCGCUACUACCGAUUGAAUGGUUUAGUGAGAUCUUCGGCUUGGUUUUCCGAGCGGCUUUCGGGUCGUUCGGUWUACAUAUCGAWRAGAUGCUCAAACUGGAUCAUUUAGAGGAAGUAAAAGUCGUAACAAGGUAUUCGUAGGUGAACCUGCAGAAGGAUCA
RNAcentral lists this ribosomal RNA (175 nucleotides) under uncultured eukaryote. Its description in RNAcentral is "partial small subunit ribosomal RNA". The record is from RNAcentral.